Non-coding RNA from Sclerotinia borealis F-4128, 72 nucleotides. The record is from the annotation of a GenBank genome assembly. Lineage: Eukaryota; Fungi; Ascomycota; Leotiomycetes; Helotiales; Sclerotiniaceae.
GGGUGAUUGGCGCAAUGGUAGCGUGUGGACCUCCUAAGUCUAAGGUUGAGGGUUCGAGUCCCUUGUCGCUCG